AUUGAACGCUGGCGGCAGGCCUAACAAAUGCAAGUCGAGCGAGCGGAGGAAGGGUGAGUAAUGUCUGGGAAACUGCCUGAUGGAGGGGGAUAACUACUGGAAACGGUAGCUAAUACCGCAUACCAUCGGAUGUGCCCCGAUGGGAUUAGCUAGUAGGUGGGGUAACGGCUCACCGAGGCGACGAUCCCUAGCUGGUCUGAGAGGAUGACCCGCCACACUGGAACUGAGCCACGGUCCAGACUCCUACGGUAGGCAGCAGUGGGGAAUAUUUCACAAUGGGCGCAAGCCUGAUGCAGCCAUGCCGCGUGUGUGAAGACGGCCUUCUGGUUGUAAAGCACUUUAAGUUGGGAGGCGUGACCAACAGAAUAAGCACCGGCUAACUUCGUGCCAGCCGCCGCGGUAAUUC
This 406-nucleotide ribosomal RNA is filed under the name uncultured bacterium. RNAcentral's name for it is "partial 16S ribosomal RNA". It matches the Rfam family "Bacterial small subunit ribosomal RNA", at positions 30 to 526 of the family's 1533-position model. The record is from RNAcentral.